This 249-nucleotide ribosomal RNA is filed under the name Escherichia coli. RNAcentral describes it as "partial 16S ribosomal RNA". It matches the Rfam family "Bacterial small subunit ribosomal RNA", at positions 1 to 246 of the family's 1533-position model. Lineage: Bacteria; Pseudomonadati; Pseudomonadota; Gammaproteobacteria; Enterobacterales; Enterobacteriaceae. The record is from RNAcentral.
AAAUUGAAGAGUUUGAUCAUGGCUCAGAUUGAACGCUGGCGGCAGGCCUAACACAUGCAAGUCGAACGGUAACAGGAAACAGCUUGCUGUUUCGCUGACGAGUGGCGGACGGGUGAGUAAUGUCUGGGAAACUGCCUGAUGGAGGGGGAUAACUACUGGAAACGGUAGCUAAUACCGCAUAACGUCGCAAGACCAAAGAGGGGGACCCUCGGGCCUCUUGCCAUCGGAUGUGCCCAGAUGGGAUUAGCU